AGCCCGGUCGUCUAGCGGUCAAGGAUUUCAGGCUCUGGACCUGGAGACAGCAGUUCGAAUCUGCUCCGGGCUA
RNAcentral lists this transfer RNA (73 nucleotides) under Thermoproteota archaeon. RNAcentral describes it as "tRNA-Gln". It matches the Rfam family "tRNA". Rfam says of the family: Transfer RNA (tRNA) molecules are approximately 80 nucleotides in length. The record is from RNAcentral. RNAcentral also lists the same sequence under 2 other names. Lineage: Archaea; Thermoproteati; Thermoproteota.